This 458-nucleotide ribosomal RNA is filed under the name uncultured bacterium. RNAcentral's name for it is "SSU rRNA". It matches the Rfam family "Bacterial small subunit ribosomal RNA", at positions 26 to 518 of the family's 1533-position model. The record is from RNAcentral.
AGAAUCAACGCUGGCGGCGUGCCUAACACAUGCAAGUCGCACGAGAAAGUGGAGCAAUCCACGAGUAAAGUGGCGCACGGGUGAGUAACACGUGAAUAAUCUACCUCCGAGUGGGGAAUAACUGAGAGAAAUCUUAGCUAAUACCGCAUAACACUUACGAGUCAAAGCAGCAAUGCGCUUGGAGAGGAGUUCGCGGCCGAUUAGUUAGUUGGCGGGGUAAUGGCCCACCAAGACGAUGAUCGGUAUCCGGCCUGAGAGGGCGCACGGACACACUGGAACUGAAACACGGUCCAGACUCCUACGGGAGGCAGCAGUGGGGAAUUUUGCGCAAUGGGGAAACCCUGACGCAGCAACGCCGCGUGGAGGAUGAAAUAUCUUGGUAUGUAAACUCCUUUCGAUGGGGAAGAUAAUGACGGUACCAUAGAAGAAGCCCCGGCUAACUUCGUGCCAGCAGCCGC